AGAGUUUGAUCAUGGCUCAGAUUGAACGCUGGCGGCAUGCCUUACACAUGCAAGUCGAACGGCAGCGCGGGGCAACCUGGCGGCGAGUGGCGAACGGGUGAGUAAUAUAUCGGAACGUGCCCUGGAGUGGGGGAUAACGCAGCGAAAGUUGCGCUAAUACCGCAUACGAUCUAAGGAUGAAAGCAGGGGACCGCAAGGCCUUGUGCUCCUGGAGCGGCCGAUAUCUGAUUAGCUAGUUGGUGGGGUAAAGGCCUACCAAGGCAUCGAUCAGUAGCUGGUCUGAGAGGACGACCAGCCACACUGGAACUGAGACACGGUCCAGACUCCUACGGGAGGCAGCAGUGGGGAAUUUUGGACAAUGGGCGAAAGCCUGAUCCAGUAAUGCCGCGUGAGUGAAGAAGGCCUUCGGGUUGUAAAGCUCUUUUGUCAGGGAAGAAACGGUGUGGGCUAAUAUCCUGCACUAAUGACGGUACCUGAAGAAUAAGCACCGGCUAACUACGUGCCAGCAGCCGCGGUAAUACGUAGGGUGCAAGCGUUAAUCGGAAUUACUGGGCGUAAAGCGUGCGCAGGCGGUUUUGUAAGUCUGUCGUGAAAUCCCCGGGCUCAACCUGGGAAUUGCGAUGGAGACUGCAAGGCUAGAAUCUGGCAGAGGGGGGUAGAAUUCCACGUAGCAGUGAAAUGCGUAGAGAUGUGGAGGAACACCGAUGGCGAAGGCAGCCCCCUGGGUCAAGAUUGACGCUCAUGCACGAAAGCGUGGGGAGCAAACAGGAUUAGAUACCCUAGUAGUCC
Molecule: ribosomal RNA, 789 nt
Filed under: uncultured bacterium
Lineage: Bacteria
Description: bacterial SSU rRNA
Rfam family: Bacterial small subunit ribosomal RNA
Source: RNAcentral